This 731-nucleotide ribosomal RNA is filed under the name Kosmotoga arenicorallina S304. RNAcentral's name for it is "bacterial LSU rRNA". It matches the Rfam family "Bacterial large subunit ribosomal RNA", at positions 1 to 710 of the family's 2925-position model. Lineage: Bacteria; Thermotogati; Thermotogota; Thermotogae; Kosmotogales; Kosmotogaceae. The record is from RNAcentral.
AGGUAAAGGUGCAAAGGGCACACGGGGGAUGCCUGGGCAGCAGGAGGCGAAGAAGGGCGUGGCAAGCUGCGAAAAGCCGCGGGUAGGUGCAAGCGACCGUUGAACCGCGGAUACCCGAAUGGGGGAACCCGGCUGGUAGAGAUACCAGUCAUCGCUAAGUGCGAGGCGAACCCGGUGAAGUGAAACAUCUCAGUAACCGGAGGAAGAGAAAUCAAAAGAGAUUCCCUGAGUAGUGGCGAGCGAAAGGGGAGGAGCCUAAACCGUGCCAGUGUAGAAGUCUGUGGGCGUUGCUGGUACGGGGUAGAGGGACACAGCUGGGCGUAGCCACAGAUACGCCGGUGUACCGUAGCGUCUAGCUGAAAGGUCUGGGAAGGCCUGCCGGAGAGGGUGAAAGCCCCGUAGGCGAAAGGCGUGAAGGGCACUGGGCAGUGAUCCCGAGUAGCGCGGGGCACGAGGAAUCCCGCGUGAAUCAGGGGGGACCACCCUCCAAGGCUAAAGACUCCCUGCUGACCGAUAGAGGAACAGUACCGUGAGGGAAAGGUGAAAAGCACCCCGGGAGGGGAGUGAAAGAGUACCUGAAACCGUGUGCCUACAAGAAGUGGGAGCCCGAGAGGGUGACCGCGUGCCUUUUGAUUAAUGAGCCUGCGAGUUAUCGUAGCUGGCGAGGUUAAGCCGGGGGAGGCGAAGCCGAAGGGAAACCGAGUCUGAAGAGGGCGAGAGUCAGUUGCGAU